CGGCAAAAGGGUGAGUAACGCGUAAGUAAUCCGCCUUCAAGCCGGGGAUAGCAUCGUGAAAACGGUGGUAAUACCCGAUGUUAUCGGUAGCCUGCAUGGGCAGCCGAUCAAAGACGGGGACCGCAAGGCCUGUCACUUGAGGAUGAGCUUGCGUACCAUCAGCUAGUUGGUAGGGUAAUGGCCUACCAAGGCUAAGACGGUUAGCUGGACUGAGAGGUUGACCAGCCACAUUGGGACUGAGACACUGCCCAGACUCCUACGGGAGGCUGCAGUCGAGAAUAUUUAGCAAUGGACGAAAGUCUGACUAUGCGACGCCGCGUGCAGGAUGAAGGUCUUCGGAUUGUAAACUGCUUUUGUUUGGGGCGAAACCUCCGACGUUAACAGCGUCGGAGCUGACGGUACCAGGCGAAUAAGCCACGGCCAACUCCGUGCCAGCAGCCGCGGUAAUACGGAGGUGGCAAGCGUUACUCGGAAUUAUUGGGUGUAAAGGGCAGGUAGGCGGCUAGGUAAGUGAGGGGUGAAAUCCCACGGUUCAAUCGUGGAACAGCCUUUCAAACUGCCUGGCUUGAGUGUGACAGGGGAAGAUGGAAUUCUCGGUGUAAGGGUGAAAUCUGUAGAUAUCGGGAAGAACACCAACGGCGAAGGCAAUCUUCUGGGUCACUACUGACGCUGAGCUGCGAAAGCUAGGGGAGCAAACAGAAUUAGAUACUCUGGUAGUCCUAGCCGUAAACGAUGAGUACUAGGUGUUGGGCCCUUCGGGGCUCGGUGCCGAAGCUAACGCAUUAAGUACUCCACCCGGGGACUACGGUCGCAAGGCUAAAACUCAAAGGAAUUGACGGGGGCCCGCACAAGCGGUGGAACAUGUGGUUUAAUUCG
This 876-nucleotide ribosomal RNA is filed under the name uncultured bacterium. RNAcentral describes it as "bacterial SSU rRNA". It matches the Rfam family "Bacterial small subunit ribosomal RNA", at positions 96 to 953 of the family's 1533-position model. The record is from RNAcentral.